GCCCAUCACUUCUUGUUCAACUAAACAAAGUUGCACAAUAACAACUCAAUUCAUCUUCUUAGCUCAGAUCUCGAUUACAUUUGUAAGUUUCAUAAAUUGAAGUCACAAUGAAGCUGGGAGUUUUCAUCAUUGCUGGCCUGAUUUUUAUCAACUUGUGCACCUGCAUGCCAAGGGACCUGGCGGCGGAUGCAUCUCACGGUACCACUGUGCCAGAGAGUGAAAUUCGCAAAUUGAUUGCUGGAACUGACGGAAGAAACGGUCCUCCCAGCAAUGAUCACCAGUGCCCGCUUGGGACAUACCCUAAUUGUCAAGGCAUGUCUCAGAACACUGAGGAAGCAGCUCCAGAUGUUCGUGGAAAUUGAGCCCAUCUCUGCUGAUCACGGAGCAUGAAGAUUCAUGAGAGAUAUAUAAGUUCAUGGCUGAUGUACUUUUAUCAUGCUACUCUGUUGUACGCGGAAGGCUGUUUAGCCAUGUUAACAGGACUAGCUUUUUUAUGCUUAUUUUCCAGUAUUAUUUCAAUGUUUGUACUUAUAUGGAAACAUAUGAAUCAUUAUAUUUCCUCAAGCUGAAUAAUUUU
This is a long non-coding RNA of Panicum virgatum (switchgrass), 577 nucleotides long. RefSeq lists it as uncharacterized. The record is from RefSeq and is a predicted model, not a curated record. Lineage: Eukaryota; Viridiplantae; Streptophyta; Magnoliopsida; Poales; Poaceae. The transcript has 2 exons.